UGCAGGGCUGCCACGGUGUUCUGCCGGCUUGCCCGACCCUCUGGCGUCACCAGCCAGAAGCCCCCGUCCAUGGCGUCCUUCCCUCCGGAUGCGGUCCCUGAGAGGGCUAGUUCGCCCCUCCAACAAACUCUCCGCUAGAUACUGCGUCUCCUGCCUUUCCAGUACUUUUUUAAAAAAAAUUAUUUCCGAAUUUGAACAUUAGCACUUGUUUCUUUUUUUAAAUUUACGAGAUGGCAGAAUUGUCAUAAGAAGAGAUGUGCAUAUAUCCUUGCGAAUUUUAAAGAACGUGAGAUGCUGCCUGGCUUGUGAAUUGUUCCAGCAUUUCUGCUUUUGUUUUUGGAUUUACAGCACCUGGAGAUUUUUAAAACAAAAUUUCCAUUCUGAUGGGCUCACAAAGACGCCAAAAUGAAAUGGUGGAAAUCGUUGAGAAACACCAGUCAGCAGCCAUCAUCCAGGAUUAAGAUGUGAAGAAAUUUCUGAUUUAUAGUUUUUCUGCAAUAUGGUAUAUUCCCCAAUUUUGUCCAUCCAUAUCUUAUAUGCUUUAAUUUGCCAUAAAAUGCAGUAAUCUCCAAAUGCCUUUUUAUAUUAAACUCACCAUGAAGAUCUUCAGCCAAUUAUUCAUGAUCAGAGAAUUUUAUUGAAUGAUGGAGCAGAUGAAAAGGGCCAAGCAUUCCAUCUUUUAUCUUUUAUUUUCUUUCAUUUUUUGACUCUUUUGUAAUUCAGUGCUUUUGCUCACAGCUUCUUUAUAAAUCACUAUCAGCUUACAUCAUGAUGAAGGGUCUCGACCCAAAGCAUUGACUGCUUCUUCAUUUCCAUGGAUGCUGCCUGACUCGAUGAGUUCCUCCAGCAUUCUGUUUGUGUUACUCUGGAUUUUCAACAUCUGCAAAAUCUCUUGUGUUUGUGUUGUUGACAUCCUGUUGCUUUCCAGAGUUCUUUUUGACGCAUUUGUGAAAGGCAAAUCAAGACAGAUCUGUGACUCUUCACUGCCAUUGCAAUGUGUCCCUUUUACUGAUUCCUUUCAUUCUUCCAAAUCUGAAUCUUAAAAAAUUGAAAUUCCUUUUCAAUCUGCAUUUGCAAAUAGAUUAUUAACAAGUAUAAAGAUUUGACUAGUUUUUCUGCAUUGUGGUAUAUUUCAAUGUCACCCAGCCACAUCUCAUCAUCUGCUUUAAUUUGCGAUAAAGUAUAGUACUCAAAAUGCCUUUUUACCGUGAAGAUAUUCAGCCAAUUAUUCAUAAUCAGAUAAUUUUAAUGAUCAUGUGGUGAGAAAAAAGACUGAGGUUAGUUUGAAAAAUAUUGUAUCUCUCAGAAUUACAUUUUAUGUGCUGUACAACAUAUUUUAGUGAAGUCCUAUGUAUAAUUUGGUUGUUAAGGUUGUUAUAGCCAUGGGUGGUAAUGGGGAGAAGCUCCCGCCACCUAUUAAAUGCUCUCAAUGAUGUGCAACACAUUGCCCCUGACAACCAAGUCCAGCUCCUGACCUUCAUGUAUAGCUUAGCUACCAAGGCUGGAGGAGCCAUUUCUACUGACAAGAGAAGGGACAAAGGUGAGCUACUGGAGCCUUAAAACCAGUCACUUUGGGUAGACAGGGCUCGUCGAUCAUGGUUGGCAGCUCAUUGAGAAGAAGGAUAACUUUGGUCUCAAACCUCUGCUGACUUAUAGCUAUUGUUGUUCAUUGGGAAGGCUUUGGGAGUAAACCCCAAGGGAAAAAUUCAGAGCUGGAGUCCCUAAGUCCUCAUUUGAGUUCAAUGCUGAAUGGCAAUUCCUGUGACACUGCUGGUGCCAAUCUGUAUCGGUCUCUGCCAUUCCUUUGGGUUUGUCAAUUGUGAGGGGAGGGGGAGCUACACGGGCAACAGCUUGCUCUCCAUAUCAUACUGUCCAGUUGCAUACCUAGACAGCUAGGGUACACCAUUCGUGGUCGACCCUGACCAACGGAGGCCUUAUAUAUAAUUUAAUUAUUUCUUUCUUCUUUGCAAGUGAAACAUUAUGUAAUAUAGUUUGAGCUGAUUGAUAUUUCAUAUAAUAACUAAAAAUGUUCAUUACUUUUAGGGAAAACAAGUCAUUGCACCAAGAGAUGAACAGGAAAGUAAUUUAGGCUGCAUUCUAAAGCUUUACAUUUUCACAUGCAUUGACAUUAUUACUCCAGUAAAAAAGUAGAAUAUCUCAGUUAAUGUGUAGACUUUGUAGGAACUGAAUCCUCGGGCUAUAGAUAAGCCAAAAAGUUCUUAACCCCUUCAUUGCUUUACACUUUAGAGUGAAGAGUUUCCAUGAUACACUGCAGCUUUGUACAUUUUGAAUGCUUCAUCAAAUAUUAUCAUCAAGAAAUAAAUGAUCAAGUUCUUUUAAGACAUAAAUGUUGACACACUUUUCAUAUUUUUCUUCCUCUGAAAUAAUUUGUAUCUUUAGUGCAGGCCAGAACUAAGUGCUAAAGAUGAAUAUUCUUUGCACCGGCUCUGGAAGUUCUUUGUACUCUAUUCCUUCAAAAGAAUGAUUGAGUAGUUCUAUGUUUUUGUAAAAGGAAGAGAAGUUAUUAAAGACAUUAGGAUAAAACAUUCCAAUGUGAGAACCUGAAGUUUUCAUCCCAUUUUUAAAUGGAUUUUAAUGAUAUGAUACUCAUGACCCACAUAGUUUCGUCUUCUGGUAAACUGACUUGAAAAUCCUAAAAUUGACACAUAUUAUUAGCUAUAUGUAAAAAAAAAUACCCAAAGGCCAUUCUUUUUAAUAUGUUUGGUGGCCUUGCAAGAAUGGCAUUUUUCUCAGUUAUUGUGAUAAAAAUCAUUAGGCAUGUUCAGUCAGUUCUGUUCUUAAAUACAUCAAACAACAACAGAAAUAGUUUGUCGUUUCCAACUGUAACCUAAACAUGUUUGCAAAUUGAACACUAUAGACUGAAAGCCCCUGCAGUUUUUGAGCUAAAACAUUCCUGGUGAUGUUGCAAUUAUUGCAAUUUCUCAAACUUUUAAAUUGCAUUUUAGUGCAAUCCUGACUGAGGGUAGAGGUAAUGAAAAAUACUAUGGAAAUUCUGUAAUGUUUUGUAACUCCAAAACAUUAAAGUAAUUGGAAGGAAAGCAAUAGAGCCAGGAGAUGACUUGUGGAUAUUCACUCUUAUUUUAAGCGAGGUGUGUGUGUAUCAGGCGGUGAUGCAAUGACUUGCGUCGUUCAUGUAUUUCAUACAUAUAAUCAUAAUU
Molecule: long non-coding RNA, 3179 nt
Organism: Hypanus sabinus (Atlantic stingray)
Lineage: Eukaryota; Metazoa; Chordata; Chondrichthyes; Myliobatiformes; Dasyatidae
Exons: 3
Source: RefSeq, a predicted model, not a curated record